This 71-nucleotide transfer RNA is filed under the name Cynoglossus itinus. Its description in RNAcentral is "tRNA-Thr". It matches the Rfam family "tRNA". From Rfam's summary of the family: Transfer RNA (tRNA) molecules are approximately 80 nucleotides in length. Their secondary structure includes four short double-helical elements and three loops (D, anti-codon, and T loops). The record is from RNAcentral. Lineage: Eukaryota; Metazoa; Chordata; Actinopteri; Pleuronectiformes; Cynoglossidae.
GCACUAGUAGCUCAAUGAAGAGCAUUGGUUUUGUAAACCGAAGGCUGGGGAAUCAUCAACCCCCUAUUGCU